RNAcentral lists this ribosomal RNA (468 nucleotides) under uncultured bacterium. Its description in RNAcentral is "partial 16S ribosomal RNA". It matches the Rfam family "Bacterial small subunit ribosomal RNA", at positions 28 to 507 of the family's 1533-position model. The record is from RNAcentral.
GACGAACGCUGGCGGCGUGCUUAACACAUGCAAGUCGAACGGAAAGGCCCUGCUUUUGUGGGGUGCUCGAGUGGCGAACGGGUGAGUAACACGUGAGUAACCUGCCCUUGACUCUGGGAUAACUUCAGGAAACUGGGGCUAAUACCGGAUAGGAGCUCCUGCUGCAUGGUGGGGGUUGGAAAGUUUCGGCGGUUGGGGAUGGACUCGCGGCUUAUCAGCUUGUUGGUGGGGUAGUGGCUUACCAAGGCUUUGACGGGUAGCCGGCCUGAGAGGGUGACCGGCCACGUUGGGACUGAGAUACGGCCCAGACUCCUACGGGAGGCAGCAGUGGGGAAUAUUGCACAAUGGGCGGAAGCCUGGUGCAGCAACGCCGCGUGCGGGAUGACGGCCUUCGGGUUGUAAACCGCUUUCGCCUGUGACGAAGCGUGAGUGACGGUAAUGGGUAAAGAAGCACCGGCUAACUACGUG